AUGCGUAUGUUGAGAUGGAUGUGUGGCCACACCAGGAAGGAUCGAGUCCGGAAUGAUGAUAUACGAGAUAGAGUUGGGGUAGCACCAAUUGAGGAGAAGGUUGUCCAACAUCGUCUGAGAUGGUUUGGGCAUAUUCAGCGCAGGCCUCCGGAAGCUCCAGUGCAUAGCGGACGGCUAAAGCGUGCGGAGCAUGUCAAGAGAGGGCGGGGUCGACCAAAUUUGACAUGGGAGGAGUCCCUUAAGAGAGACCUGAAGGAUUGGAGUAUCGACAAAGAGCUAGCUAUGGACAGGGGUGCAUGGAAGCUUGCUAUCCAUGUGCCAGAGCCAUGA
RNAcentral lists this ribosomal RNA (330 nucleotides) under Triticum aestivum (bread wheat). RNAcentral's name for it is "partial small subunit ribosomal RNA". Lineage: Eukaryota; Viridiplantae; Streptophyta; Magnoliopsida; Poales; Poaceae. The record is from RNAcentral.